GUCAAUUCAAACUGCCUGAUGCCUUCUAAAACCCUAUCGAGACUCCGAGUUGAUAUAUCAUUGUAUCUCAAAUUAGGCUGCUCCUUAACUGAAUCCAGAGACUGCAGGAGCUUAAGCAGCAGCCAUGGUAUGGGCUUACAAGUACGUGUCAGGGCUAUGGAGGAAGAAGCAAUCUGAUGUGAUGAGGUUCUUGCAGAGGGUCAGGUGGUGGGAAUACCGCCAGCACCCUUCCAUUGUUCGAGUUAACUACCCAACUCGCCCUGACAAGGCUCGUCGCUUGGGUUAGAAAGCCAAGCAGUUGUAACAUAUUUUAGUUAUAUGAUUAUCCUUUGGUCGGAAAAACUGCAUUGCAAAAAUGUUUAUGGCCAGACUUAUUGUAAUUGUGAUACUACUCAUAUGUUGCUAAUAUAGUUGAAAUAUACAUUUUUUUAAUUAUAUUUACAAAUAGAAUAAUAAAUUAAAUGAUGUUAUGAUUGGCAACAAUAAAAUUGU
This is a non-coding RNA of Durio zibethinus, 492 nucleotides long. NCBI's taxonomy places the organism in Eukaryota, Viridiplantae, Streptophyta, Magnoliopsida, Malvales, Malvaceae. The record is from RefSeq and is a predicted model, not a curated record.